Molecule: non-coding RNA, 4800 nt
Organism: Carica papaya (papaya)
Lineage: Eukaryota; Viridiplantae; Streptophyta; Magnoliopsida; Brassicales; Caricaceae
Source: RefSeq, a predicted model, not a curated record
AAUUAUUUCUAGAUCGAGAGUAAACUAUAGUAUCGGAUCAUGUUCUUAAGGUACCAGGACAAAGAGUACCCUAGAUAUAACUCCAAGUCAUACCCUCGAUCUUGUUACAGAGAGUCUUUUCAACAAAAUAUAUAUACAAAAAAAAAAAUUCAAACAUCUUACAAGAUCAGUUCUCGACUAGGAUGCCAUAGACCAACAAUCCUGAAAUAAAUUUUUUUUUUAAAAACACGAUACAACUAUUGGCAAUGCAGAUGAUCGAAUUUAACUCAAUUAAACUUUCAGUAAUCCGUUAGACAUAACAGUCUAUUCUUUCAAAAACAACCGAACAUCCAAGGAACGAGUAUACUUGACCAGAAAUGUUCCUAAAAGAUUUUGUUACUCCUAAAUUUAAACCCUUAAAGAAAGAGAACUCCCCAAAGACUGGUUUCAUAAUUAAAACAUUUAACGUGAUAACCCGGAAUAUGGUUCCAUUAUUUCCAAGUGGGACAUCAGGUUAUACAAAAUACAAAUAUGCCUAGAUAAAACUCAAAAGUAAACACUAGCAGAGUAGCAGUGGAAUUUUGGUGGACCAUAACCUAUAACAUAUAAUUUAUAUCUUAGAGUCGCGUCUAAGGCUACCACCUUGAGCCUCUGACAACCAAAGGUGUAACACCUACACUCGAAAAUAAUGAAAUGACUAGAAUAAAAUUCAAUUGUGUUUAAGAAUACUACGUGAUUCCAUCAAAGUCAGAUAAAUUUUCAGCAAUAACAAUUAUGGAUUUCAUACCUUCCUGCGUAAAGAACGCUAGGAAAAGCGAAUCAAUUGCCAAGAGAUUUUAGGAAUCAUUUAAACUUCAUGGAAUUUGAAAGGCUAGUAUGACUUAAACUAAGAGUAGAUUACUUAGACAUUAAGUCACUUGAGUAACGAAGGAGAGGUUUAGCUAUUGAAACAAUUAUUUUCAAAUUUAUAAAGUAAUACUCGAGAUUCAGAAAAUCUUACUACUAGUGGAUUGUUAUAUAUGAGCAUGGAAACCAACUUUAUUGUUUAGAACUCCAAGUCAUUAGAAUAAAAUGCAUGUCUUGGUGAUAAUUAAAGAUUUCGUGGACUAGGGAUCAUAAAAAAAUAAUUUUUAAAAUAUUCAUGCAUUAAUUUUUGAAUGUCAGAAAGUAAGCAAUUUUUAUUGGACGUACGCACAUAGGAAAAGAUGUAAACAUAACAUGGCUUUGAGGUCACUUAACUAAUUAAGAACUUAAUCAUGUGGUGAGAAGUAAAUAUAGUGUAUGUUGCUAAGAGACUUUUCAUGAUGAUAAUCAAACAAAGGCAUGAUGCUCCCAAACAGUGGUUGGUAGUGGUGAUAAUUGCAUAUACUAUUGCUAUAAGAUAUUACGCUCUAAUGAAUUUUGAAGUUCGACAUAAUCUAGAAUAGUAGUCUUUUGUGAAGAUAAAACCUCCUUAGGUUCUAAAACCUCUAAGAUUCAAAGGCCAAUUCUUCGUGAAUAUAUAUCUUUAUUUUUGGGAGAUAAGAAGAGAGAUACCCCAAUUUAAAGUGAUUCCACUAUUAGAAAUACCAUGACAAUUCUAUUCCAUAAAAGAAAGCAUCUAAGAACCGAAAGAGUAAUGAAAGACGAAUAUCCUCAUUUGUUACAAGUUCCUGACAAGUUCAAAUUUUAGAGAUCAAUUUUUUAAGGCGGGAGAUUGUAACAUCCUGUAUAAUUUGACAUUUAAAUUUUUGGGGUGUUUUAUAAGAGUUUUUAAAUAAUUCAAGAGCCUCUGCAAAUUUAAAAGGGCUUAGGGAUUUGAAUGAAAGAAAAUUUCAAAAUCCAGAAAUUAAUCCCUAAAUAAAAAAUCACCCCACUAAAUUAGGGAGAGGGCACCUACUAAAGAAAAACCAGAGAGAUGGAAAAGGAGCGACGGAAAGGGAGGAGAGUGAGAGCUAAGCAAUCAACCAAACAGAAUGCAGACGAGGGGAUUGGAGGCGAUUAGAGGGAGGAAUUUCUCAUAAAAAAUUCGUUGAGAUAGGAAGAAUUCAAAUGAGGACCACCGCUUCAACAGAUACCAAUUUGGAAGCAAGUGCAAGAAGAAUUUGAGUUUUAAACAGUGAAUUUGAAAUUUGUGCUUUAAUUUUUUGUUUCAAAUAAUGAUUGGCGAUGAUUAAAGAAACUACAAUGUGAGAAGGGAUAUUACCGAGGGAUAUGAUAAUUAUAACUUGCGGUGUUGAGAGAAUCCUUUUCAUUCAACAACAUUAUUUCAUGUAUAUCAUUUCUUUUAUUUACUAUUUAGCCUCAAAUGAUACGUAUGCCUGCAUCCCCAAGUAAGACAAGAGUUCGAAAUUUAUAUUUUAGAAUACGUAAAUGUAAUAAAUAUACAUUAUGCUGACCAAAACGUAUUAUGUACAAAAUUGAACAACGGGAAACAUAGAUUAAGACAAAUAAAUUGAAGUAGUUUAAAAUAGAAUAAGUAAAUAGAUAAGUACAAUAUAGCGACUAAAGAAAUAGUUAACACAAUUAAAUAAGCAUAGAAUGACCGGUUAUUGGCUUCAUUGAAAACAUGUACUUAGUUAAUUAAAGAAUCACCAAUUAUCUAAAAUUUUUAUUUAUUAUUAAUUUAGCUUUAAGGGAAAAUAGGUGAGGGAUCCUUACUCUUAGUCGGUGUUUAGAACACUGUCUUUUUUACUACGAUUCUCAACAGUUCCCGGUUCUUGGAUUUCUUGAGUUUUUUUUGAUAAGAUUGAAAACGUACGUCAAAUUGGCUUGAAAAUAUGUAAAGAACUAUGAAAAAAAAUCAAAAAUCUCACCGGGGGUCGGGUUGGGGUUCCAAUGUAGCGGUGCUGCCAUGCUCCGCCGCCUGGUCCUCCAGCGGUUCUUCCUCUCGGUCAGACUAGUUUAGGCUGGUUCUUGGUAAAAAAAAUGUUUAAAUCGUGGUUCGAGGGUGUUUCUCGACGAAAAGAGGGGAAAAACAGGUGCUUACUAGCAAUUUCGAUGUUUUAGUGUGGCAGUUCAGUCGAGCUCUGCCAUCCCUCCCUUGCAGUUUGCAGCUUUUCUCGGUCACCCUACAUCGGAAACAUGUUAGGCGGCUAAAGGGCGGAGAAAUCGGAAGAACGGAAAGAAAAUAUGACUUAUUGGAGUAUUUUCAAUCUUUGGAAUGGUGGCACUGACGUCCUCCAGUGGCUGAGCUUCUCCUCUAGCUGCCUCUCUUCGUCUUCUCCGGCUUGGGUGUCGGCUAAGGUUAAGGUUUAACUGAAAAGAGAUUUAAAAACCUCUCUUAUAAUAUCCUAAGCCCAGAAAUUAAGCUCGGGAUGAUAUAAAUUAAUUUUAAAACUAAUAUUAAAAAUAUUUAAUUUUAAUUUUUCUAGAAUUUUUUUGAUAUAUAUGCAUUUUGGAUACAUUUGAAAAUAAUUUCAAACGGAUUGGGCCAAAAUAGAAAUAAAGGAGGACCAAAUUAAAAAAAAGUGGCCACGUAGGACGGCCAUGUCAGCAGCACGGGCAGUCACCGUGCGCCGCGUAGUGGAUACGACAGGACGCACUCCACGCGAGAAGCCACACGGGCAAUCCGUGUGCCAAGCGAUCCAACAGCCCGUGUUCACUCCUGCCAUCACGAACGACCUAGAUUUAUUUUCUCAUUAGGUGUGAUCGGAUGAUCCACACACCUUUGAUCGUACAACCUAGAUCUUUUUUCCUUUUAGGUACAAUCAAACGGCUAAGGAAGCACCAUGCGGACCCAGAUGGACAACUCAGAUCGUGAGAAGGGGAGUAUUUAAACUCCUCUUCCAUCGAAACCCUAACCUUAACCCUAGCCACACAACUGCUCGUUGGAGAAGAAAAAGAAGAAGGGCGGCUAAAGGUGAAGCCAGCCACCAUCGUUGCUGCACCGGAGACCUAAAUCGACGCUGAUAAGUGCAAUUGUCUCCUGUUCGUCCCGUUUUUCCAUUCUAAGCUACCCAAAACACUUCUUGAUGUAGGAAAACGCGAGGAAAAGCCAUAAAUGGAGGGCGGAGCUCAGUUGAGCCACUGCACCCAAAACAAAAAAAUGCUCAUUUGAACCUGAAGUCCAUUUCUAUUACUUCCGUUUCUUGACCUUAGGCCAUCUAACAUGUUUUUCGGUACAGGGUAAUCGAAGGAAAGCCGUGAUUACGAGCAAGAAACAACAGAGGUUGGUGGAGCCAUCACACCAGAAAGCCAGAACCAUUAGUUUUCACCCAUAACUGGCCGAAACCGGCCUGACCGAGAGGAAGAGCCAUCGUAGAAGGAGGAACUAACUGUAGAGCACGGCGGCACUGUUGCGCUGGAAGCCUAAACUGAACCCCGAAAAACCCAAGAAAUCCAAGAACUGGGAAGCGUAAUGAAAAAAGCGGUGUUCCAGAUACUGACUCAAAGUACAAGUGGCUAAUGGAGCAAAUAACCGGAAACAUGGAGUGCGGAUGGUCGUUCGAUCGAGUCUAUUUGGGAUACCAAUCUGGGCUGUCCAUCCGGAUUUGCAUGGACGACAGGAGCCGUUCGAUCGAAGCUUAUUCGAAAAAUUGAUUUGGGCCGUUCGUGCGUGCGAUAAUGGACAUGGACCAUUCGAUUACCCUAGCAUGCGGCUUGCCCGCGUGACUUCCCAUGUGGAGCCUGUGUCAGUGUGUCUUGCGUGACGAUUCGUCGUGCCGCUGACUUGGUGUACAUGUGGUCCAUAUUUUCUCUUUUUGCAAUUUGACCUCUGUUUUUAAAUUUUUCUUUUAAACAUAUUCUCAUUUAUUUACAAUUUGGCACUGGCUUUUGAAAUUCAUUUUCAAAGACAUCCAAAAUGUAUAUAUUCUAAAAAAAUAAUAAUAAAUUUUCUCA